RNAcentral lists this ribosomal RNA (551 nucleotides) under uncultured Fibrobacterota bacterium. RNAcentral describes it as "bacterial SSU rRNA". It matches the Rfam family "Bacterial small subunit ribosomal RNA", at positions 338 to 889 of the family's 1533-position model. The record is from RNAcentral. Lineage: Bacteria; Pseudomonadati; Fibrobacterota.
CCUACGGGAGGCAGCAGUGAGGAAUAUUGGUCAAUGGGCGCAAGCCUGAACCAGCGACGCCGCGUGCGGGAUGAAGGGGCUUUGCCUCGUAAACCGCUGUCGGAUGGGACGAAAGGUGGCUUUAAGCCACUGGGACGGUACCAUCAAAGGAAGGAUCGGCUAACUACGUGCCAGCAGCCGCGGUAAUACGUAGGAUCCGAGCGUUGUCCGGAGUUACUGGGUGUAAAGGGUGCGUAGGCUGUUCUGUGCGUCAGAGGUGAAAUCCACGGGCUUAACUCGUGGGGUGCCUUUGAUACGGCAGGGCUUGAGUACGAGAGAGGUGCGUGGAAUUCCUGGUGUAGCAGUGAAAUGCGUAGAUAUCAGGAGGAACACCGGUGGCGAAGGCGGCGCACUGGCUCGUAACUGACGCUGAGGCACGAAAGCGUGGGGAUCAAACAGGAUUAGAUACCCUGGUAGUCCACGCCUUAAACGAUGCAUGCUUGGUGUUGGUCUCGCAAGAGAUCAGUGCCGUAGUUAACAUGAUAAGCAUGCCACCUGGGGAGUACGAUCGC